Molecule: signal recognition particle RNA, 88 nt
Filed under: Nannocystaceae bacterium
Lineage: Bacteria; Pseudomonadati; Myxococcota; Nannocystales; Nannocystaceae
Description: signal recognition particle sRNA small type
Rfam family: Bacterial small signal recognition particle RNA
About the family: The signal recognition particle (SRP) is a universally conserved ribonucleoprotein involved in the co-translational targeting of proteins to membranes. Archaeal SRP consists of a 7S RNA and homologues of the eukaryotic SRP19 and SRP54 proteins.
Source: RNAcentral
CAUGCCUCGGGCGACGGUUCCUCCGCCAACUCCGCCAGGACCGGAAGGUAGCAACGGUAACGGGGGGCCGGGUGCCCGGGGCACUUUU